AGUUGCCUUACGAUUUGUAUAUAAUUUUCGAGUGUGUGCUCGAUUUUGUUGUUUCGAGUAGUAGUAGUAUUUGAUUUAAUUUUUUCUCUUUUUUUUUUUUUGUAUGUUAUAGUUAUAUUUGGUGGGGCGACACACGAAGCGAGAGAGCAGGCGAAUGGCGAAUGCGAAUCCAAUCGAAUCGAAUCGAGUUGAGUUGAGCGCUCACAAAACGAACGAACCGCUUCGCUUGAAAGUGCGCGUCGAAAUGAGCUGAAAUUUGAAAAUACAGAAAUUUCCGCCGUCCACUCGCGACGCCGACUGCGAUGCUCACUGCGAUUGCGACGCCGGCAGCGCUGCUCGUUUCAGUUCUCACUUCGUUUCGCAGCGUGCCUCUCUCUGCGUUUCACCAUGUAACACACACGCACGCACACCUACACUUUCAUUUCGCUUUGUGUGAGGUCGAUGAGCACAUAUGGGAACGAGUGGGACAGCUGUGGGUGCAGGGGGUCGAUUGGGAGGUACCCUAAAUAAUACUCAAUUGCAUUGCUGAGUUGAUCAUAUAUAUAUAUACACUUAAUAAUAUAUUCCGCUUUUUCAAAGCCAUAUGCAAGAAAAAAUUGCGUUUAACUACACAACAUUGUAAAGAGUACGUGGCCCUUAGGUCGUCGAUCAUUUAAUUUAAUACGAAAAAUUCUGAUUGGCAAACAUCCAGAGAGUUACGUUCAAAUUCAAAACCCAUUUACACAUAUUCUUUGUUCCGUAAAGAAUAAACCAAUGCAUGGGCAUACCUUUAUCUUAUACGAUUACUGGGCAACAGAAGGAAGUGAGAGAGAGAGAGGGCCUGAGCAAAAAAGAGCGAGAGCCCAGCAGCGACACUGAAAAUCAAGCGCAAGUGCAAAGAGUGAGAGAGGGCGAGAGCGCAAGCGAGAGAGCGAGGGAGAGAGAGCGAGGGAGAGAGAGCGAGCGUUGAGGGCCAGCUGAUAAAUGGUUUCGCGUGUGUGUCGUAUACACUGCGUAUACGCGUUUUUCGUGUGUGUGGGUGCGCGUGUGGUCGCAGGACGGAGGUUACAUUUGCCGGCGGUCCUUGGCGUGGCGAUAAACGGUAAUCACUUGGUCACAGAGGCGGUCCGAUCCGGUGCGCACCUCCCCCUCCACCAUCGCUUUCCCGUUGACCACCUUGCUAGCCUUCUGGCGCGUCCUUCAAGGGCUUCUUCCUAUUAGUCGUGCACAUACCCAUACGCACGAGGCUAUCGAAAAUGCGGGGCUACGGAGAAGUCAUCAAGGAAUAUGGGCACCAUCUGAAGAGCCUCCAAUCUCCAUACACAACAACACAAGUAAUUGGUCUAUUUUCCAAGGGAACUUGACAGAAUGAAAAGUUUGUUUCCUUGAACAACUUUAGUCCAGCAUUUUUCAUCCAUUUCUGCAUCCAGCUAAUGCACAUUUCAAGCAUAUUUAUAAAACACAUUUGUUGGGAAACAAUGUGUCAUCUCCAAUUUCUUUCUCUUAUAUUAUUGAUAUUAAAAGCAAAAACUUAUUACUAAUUUUUUAAUCUCAGGCAUCAUAUUAAUUACGCUUUAGGAACUUUAAAUUUUAAAUUCAAGGACACGUUAUAAACAACUAGAAUAGCUUUUUGUCAGUGUAUCCUGUCAUCCGGGAACAGUUGACAUUGGAACGUCCUAUCGACGCACAUCGCCGGGAAACGUAAGCUGUCGUCCUUUGUCAGAAAGUGAUUUUUUUUCUUCUUUCAAAUUUGGGUGGCACAUUGUACUUGUACUUGUACUCGGCAUAUUUGUGUGUGUAUCCAAAUGGGGCGUUGUCGUUGUCGUUGUCGGCGGCAUUAGCCAUCCAACUACGAGUAUACAUAUAUGUACUCUGUAGAAACCAGCAACACAUGUCGCUGGCAGUCGCCCAUCAUCACAAAACUCUGGCGGGGCCACCCAGCUGCAGAUUUGUUCUUUCAGCCGGCGUUUCCUCUCCUAGCCACGCCCCCACUCCAAAUCCACUUUAUCCACUUCCCACUUCUUUCCACUUGAUCCAUGGCGGGCCGAAGCAGUUAUCCACUUGCAACAAUUGCAACUGCAACAGCAACCACUGCUCGAAUGCACAGAGGGAAAUAUUUUGGAAUUAUAAAAAAAAGUCUUAUAAAAUCUCAAAUGAUAGUUCUCUAAGAAAAGCCAUAACUUUUAAAUUUACACCAGUUAUAACCACAAAUUUAAGAAUUUAAAACAUAACUAAACCUCUACAUUUUGAAGAGUUAUAAAUAUAAGUUAUAUUUUAAGAACUGCUAGAAAAUCAUUUAUAUGAUUUUCCCUAAGUUUCUUAGCAGUAGAAACAUUUUCAAAUAGAGCAGACCGAAAGCACUUGUUUUUUUGUCAGUGCACGACGCAAAUGCAACUACACUUCACAUGGCACCACUCGGCACAUUCGUCUCAUUUAUGGCGUGCAAAUUAGCAUAGGGCCAAAAGGGCUUCGUGUGUGUCCUUUUAGGCCACGAUGGCCAUGGUGGCCACGGUGGCCAUGCCGUACAGAGAACUGAAAACACUAGACCCGUGUCCAGAUCGCAUCAGUUUCAGCUUCUGUCCGCCUCGCAUCAUGUGUGUGUGCGUGUGUGCGAGUGUGUGACUGGUAAGUGAGUGCUUGCCUGCUCAUUAGUUAGAUGGUCUGGGUACCACUGACAUCGCCAGAAUGUGUGAAAAUUGGACAGUAAUGCGGCCCUCCUUGUAGUUGUUGGUGUUGCUGAUACGGAUGGUACACACAGGACCACCCUUUGAAGCAGCGACGCUGGAGGUGUUGAAAGUAGCAAGUACGAGUUGUGGACGGGGUUUGGCAUCUUGUGAUAUUGGUUAGCUAAUUGAGAUAUACAAAUUUCCGCCUGGAAAAUGGUUGCUUGUUGCUUCAAUAGCAAUCAAAUUAAAAAUAGUAUUCAAUGGAAUGUCAAACAGGAAGUGCAUUUUUAUUUCUAUUAAAAAUACCUAGAGAAACUUUUAGAUUUCAGCUAAAAUGUGUUGCCAAGCCAGAAUUUACCAGUAAAGGUUUCUGAAGGUUCAUGGACUAUUCAUUGAAUCAACAACAAUUUCAAGGCAAACUCGCAUACAAAAUAUACACUGAACGGUUUCUUUAUAAUUCGCUAUUUAGCGUAUAUGUAGUUGUUUGAUCAUCACGAUCAAUUUCAAAGUUAUCACCGCCCACUCGGCUAAUUAUGCCACAGUGGCCAUAUAAGGGGGGAUAUGCCUGAAUAUAUAUUUGAUGGCGAUUUGCUCAUCUCAUCUUUGAAAUCAAAGGCCGGCGGAGACGGACGUUCAGCGACCUUUGGGCAUUUUUGUUAUUUUCGCUUCGCCAACUGGAGGCGUUCGGCGUUCGGUUCAACUUCCUUUCGAUUUUUGCGGAAACAUUAAACAAUCGCAACUGGUUCACCUUUCCACUUAGUCAUUGAAUCUUCAAUGAGAGUCUCAAUUUCAUUGGGACUUUCACAUUGCCCAGCUGACCCCUGCUGCUCUUUUUUCCGUCCAAUAUUCACACAGCUCCACCGCUCUCUCCUCUGGCAUCCAUCGAUUUUCAAUGGAUUUUUGUGUUGUUUUAGAAAUAGAAAUUUCGCCUAAUGCUUUCCAAUGUGUUUGAGUGUGUUUGCUUGCCUCUGUGUGUUGUAUAUAUGGCUAUAUGGCGAUAUUGCAAAAUGCUCAUGCACAUGAUUUACUUGACACUAAUUUCCAUAAAUAAAACAAAAGUUUAAUAACAUCGCCCCUGCCGCUUCAAUGGGUCGCUGACAAUAACCCAAUUUUCAAUCAAGGCAGGCGUUGUCGUUCCCCCGGCACAGUGGUUUCAAUGCUUAAAUGGUUUCAGAAAAAGAUUUACUGAUAUACUUUUAGCAUUAACUUUCAAGAUUAAAACGUACAUUUAUGGUCCAUAAUUUACGCAGUCUCGUAGUGUGGCCAAGUAAUCAUUAAUAAAGUAAAAAGUAACGUGUGUGACCAUGCUGUUGAAAAUGAGUCUAAAUUAGGGAAUUCAUUUAGUGAAAAUAAAAAAAAAAGUAUAGCUUUUUAUGAAGUCAUAAAAAACUCUUAAACGUGAUCUAACACAGUGUUUUGAUGAUUAUGGACGAUUACUCAUUUAUGGCCGCAGUUAGAGCACCGUGCAACAUUGUAAUCACCUCAGAUGACAAAAUUGAAAUCGAAGCAAUCAAAUCUGGAGGCUGCCAUCUCGGCCGAUUGCGUGGGUCGUUUUUGGCGCGUUGUCGAAAGUGUUAAUUGAUUCGAUUGCCCUCGAAGUGAAGUGAGGUGGUUUUUAGGGAAGCCCAGAUACAAAAAUCGUUUGGCUCCAGAGAUUGAAGCCAGCGAUUAACGUGUUACGAGAUGGCUAAGUCGAGUUGCAUCCGUUAGAUACGUGAAAUGGAGUUGUAAAGCUGGCGCGAAGAGAUAUUGAGAUACGGCAUCCGAAAAGAAAAAAAAAAGCUGCCGUGGGAUAUAACUUCCGCACUCGUGCCGCGGGUGAAACUUUUCAGAGAGCGAGAGAAAGCGACUGCAGGGAAAGAGACGGGGCGAGAGCGACUUUUCGUAAUCACUUUGCAGCAAUUGGCGUUUUGGUUCGGUUUCGGUUUUGUCGGUUUGAACGAACACAACGAGAAAUUUACAUUUCACAUUUUCACAAUCUUUUUUUUUUACUUUUUUCAUUUUAUUUUUUCUUUUUAUUUUUUCCUUUCCCCCUGCACUGCUCAUGUAACAAAUGAGUGAUUGGAGCAGCUUUCCGCAUUUCACACACUCACAGACGAGCAGCAUAGAAAUCUGCGCUUUGUCGUCAUCAUUGAUCGCCGUCGUCUUGGCCUGGCUUUUUUAUCCGCCUCUGUUGCUUUCUUUGCGACGACGUCGGCUCUGGGAGUUAAUUGUUUGGGUAAAAUAUGUUAAGGGGGCCAAUUUGGUAAGUGAGAUUAAUAGGAAGAUCCUUAGCUUGGUGUUUUCACAUUUUCUGAAAAGCAUCAAUGCUUCUUUAUAAAGCCUCACAGCAGAGUCAUUGCAUUAGAACUAAUAUGCACAUCAAUGAAUAUAAAAACUAAUGGGUAACUGCAGGGUUAUUAAUGCUUUAACUACGUAAAGUUACAGUAUUUCUCUUUAAUCUUACAUUCCAGAAAUAAGUAAUAAUCUUUUGUUACAGAAAUAAUAUUCUUCCACUGAUUUCAUUAUACCAUUAACCCACGCAAAAGAGAAAUUCCUUAAGGAAUUAAGAUAUAUUACACCCAACUUCAAACAUUAAAUCCAUUAAAUUAAUCAUUGCACCAUCUAUCUAUUCCCAAUUUCCCCUAAAUAAAUCCCCACUAAUUGAGGCCGUUUUAUGUUAACGUAAAUGCGUCCGAAAUUGGGCGAAAUCUGUGCGAUUUGAUCGCUUUCGGUUGAUUGCUUCGAUGUUUUGUAACAGAGAUCAGCUUUUUCCGGCCCAUUCCCUGUCACGCGCCUAUCGAAAUCUAGUCCAGUGAUAAAUCAUAAAAUGAUUUACAAUUCGGGUACGCUCCGUUUCGAUUUGUAUUUGCGUUUGUUUCUCUUUUUUUUUUCGUAACCCAAAGCCAAACCCAUUUCGGCCCGGCUUUUAUUGGACUAAAGUCUAAUGGGAAGGGGUAGGAAAAUUGUUGCCAGGCGGUGAGUGAGAUUCACGUGGCCUUGGGUCGAAUAUUUAUUGCCUUUGUGGUUUCGAUUAUACAAUAAUUCCGAGAUGCUGAGAAGAAAUAGUUCAGGUAGUUUCAACCAAAUACUGAUUGAAUUUCCUGUGGUCCAAACAUGAUUCUCCGAUAAACAAAGCAAUGGACAAAUUGCAAAUGUCACAACGUUGUAAAAUGUGCAAAAAGUCUAAAGCACACAUUCAUCCAGGCGGCUCGGGAUCAUCGCACAACGUAUUCAUCAAUUGGCAGAGGAAAAACCAAAAAAAAAAAAAUGAAAAAUAAACAAAGUCGAAGGUAAUCCAAACUGGAGACAAAGCGAUCUCUCACAGCGAGGCGAAGAACACCCAGGAUGGGAUUUUGUCAGAUCUUAUCUCGAGCCUCAAACGAAAAUGUCAAAACAUCCCAUCCCCUGCCAUCCGAUUACCUCCUUUGGGUAAUUGUGUGGAAGGUAAAUUAUGAAACUGUCGUUUGGGCAUCUUCUUGGCCUGGCUUAAAAUGGCAUCGCCUGACUGACGGAUCCAGACGAUAUAAUGCUGCAUAUAUCCCGCUGCUAACCGCAAGAAUGGCGAAAUGGCCAGAAGCCGUACAAGUGGCGAGGAUGAUGAGCCGGCGGAAAAGGAGGAGGAGGAGUGGAGGAUAGGAGGAUAGAAGGAGGAGGUAUGGAUCUGGAUAUGUGCAUCCCACGGCGUUUGUUUACGCUCAUUAAACGUGAAAAGGUGCCACCCGAAUAGGCAAACCGCCUGCAGACCUCCGGCCGCGAAGCCUUAGCACCUGUAGACCAGUCGGCAAAAGAAGAGGACUCUUCGGUCUGCGUGUGUGGUCUCUUCGGAGACGGAAAAGGGAGACCACCACAACCAUCACCACCACCAACGCCGCCACCCUUUUCUCCUCCAUUCUUGGCCGCAAACAAUUCUCUAACAAUUACGCCUCAAUGGCAUAUAAUUCAAUCUUCCGCUGGCAUUGCUCUUUUGUCUGAUGGAUGUGUGAUGGAUAGCUCCCAAAGAGGAGGGCAGAAUGCAAAGAACACACACGCACACAAUGUACAUUGUACAUUGUCUUAAUACCUUUUGCCAGGUGUGGAUUGUGUAUCUGUAUCUGGCCAUCUGAAUCCGUAUCCGUGUAUCUGCGGCUAGGCUAAUUUGAAGUGCGUGCAUCAUGGACUUCGUGUGUGGCCUCAGGACUUUGGGAUCAGGGAAGGGCAGCGAAGCGGGGACCACAGUGAAUACCCAUUCAGUGGGAAAUCAAUUAAGUGAGCAGGGAAAUCUGAAAGGAUUUCCUUUGUGUGCGGCUAUAAAAUGAUUCUUUGUUCAUUUUCAUUAGGUCUCUUACAACUAGAAAUAAAUAUAUGGAUUAAAAAUGUUUUGAAUCACUCGAGUAAUGUGAAUAAUUAGUAUAAUAAUGUAAUUAAUGAAAGUUUAACCACAUAUUUAAUCGAAAUGAUAUAAGAAGUUAUUGAUACAUUAACCUCUCUGUGUGCAUUAAUAAGUUAAAAUGUAUUCCAACCACAAGUCUAUCCACCAUCCACUGUACCCAUCGAGCACUAAAUUCAAACGACGACUUCUGAGAGCCUUAAUAAACAAAAAACGAAAAAAGUUACCAAGAAUUCCCGACUGGCUCUCAUAAAAAUUUCGUGUUUUUUUCGAUCUUUUUAUUUUUGUUUAAUAAUUUAAAUAAAAAAUGCCACCAAAGUGGUUUCGGGCUAUAGCUGGGCAAACACGGCUUAUGGAGUGAAGUGCGAGUAUGUGUGUACGUUAAGCGCAGACGCAGAGCCUAAACACACUCAUAUAGCAGAUACAAGAUACAGGGUAGGCAAACAAAGUAAACAUGUGAGGCGGCCUCAGUCUCAGUCUCAGUCGCAGUCGCAGUCUCAGUUUUUGACUCUCGUGGAACGAGAACGGCGACGGCUGACGAUUCUUGCCACACACGAUCAUCAAGCGGCGUUGGUGGGCUCUCAAACCCUGAAACCCUCGAAACCCGGUGCCUGGAACCACAGACGUCUCGCUCGAACGGUUGGUUCCACACAGAUCCCAGAUCCCAGGUCCCCGGUCCCAGAAAAGCCAGAGCUCCGAUGGCAGAACCCCCCGAACAGAUUCAGUGUUGCUGGGCCUAAGAUUACAGGAAGCGAACACGACAAGCAUUCAAAUUAGCUAAUUAGCGGGGAAGAUUAAUAUGCGUUGAUUACUUUUUUUUUUCUCUGGACAAACAGAUAGCUAGGAUUCAAAGUGUUUCUUUUGUUAAUUUUGACAUCAUUCCAUAUUUAGCUAAAAACCUGACCUAAGAACCUGACCAAUGCGAGGGGAAACCCGCUGAAGCCAAAUGGCCAGGCCAGUUGAGGUGGCCAAGUUGAGUUGAGAAGACAAGCCUUAAAACUAAGGGCAAAACAAAUGCAACAAGUAGAAUCGUUUUGUUUGUCGCCAUGCCCCGCCUCCCUUUUGCCUUUUUAUGGAUUUUAUGGCCGCUAUGCUAUUUCGCUUUAAUUGUUUUCCCUGAGCCCUCGGUUCAUUAUUCCCGUAAUCCAAACAGAUCAAGUCCAAGGCCUCCUUCGGUGUUCCUUUUUCAUUUUAUUGUUUGCUGCCAUUUAAAAUCCCCCUUCCAGCCUAAAGAAGCUGACCUUUGACACUCGACUGCGGUUCGGUUGUUUUGCCCGGGCGUCGAUUAAGGCGGCGGGUAAUUAAUUUUCCUUUUUUUUUAUUAUCAUUCUUAUUAUGGGGCAUUUAGCUUGUAAUUAGUUUGUAGAAUUAGCCACAGGUUGUUGGGUUGUUGCGUUGUUUGCUCGCCGGCUUCUUGGGUGGUUUUCUGUGGCCGGAGGAGCUUGGUUAAGUGAAUUCGAGAUGGUAUCAAUCUGGUUGGCCACUUCUUGGUAAUAAGGCUUGUACUUUGUUUGCUUUUGCUGGAAAGGAGACCCGCAGAACUUUGUUUAUGGGCACUUGGCUAGACAAGAAGUAUGAUUCAAAGGCUUUGCACUCGCAGUGAAAACAAUGCUCACCCUAGAGAAAAUCCCAUUAGUUUGGGGUAUGACAACGCCUUAUCAACUCAAGGCUGUCUUCGAAAUAAUCGGAAUUUUGAUUAGAAAUUUCAUUGAAGUAAUCAAGAGUCGAUUUUGGCAAACUGAUAAGCAGUUUAACAAUGACAAAUGAUAGUCUCAAGGAAAGAAAUGUUGCAGCACAUUGAACUAUAAAUAUACGAGUAUAUUAAGAUUAUGAAUAAGUGGAAAAAUGAUACAUUAAUAAUGUUUUUCUAAUCACGAUGUCCUAUAACUGCAACUUUCAAAUCAGCUGUUAAUCAAAUAAACGCAUACAAACGCGUACUGACAAACACCCAAAAAGCAAACUGUGAAAAAGAAACGCCAAAAAGCAAUCGCCAUCGUCAAGGCCCAGUUAAGAGAGUUAACAGUACAAUGGACGGUGGUGAGGAAAAAGAAAAAAAAAAUAUAAAAAAAUUAAAUACAAUUUCGGGCGUCUGCGUCUGGCGCCCUAAAUGAAGACAAAUUGUAAAUAAACGUAAAUUUUCGAAACGAAAGAGUGAAAACUGUGUGCGGACAAACAUUUAGCAGCGGCGGGUUACAUAAAAAAAAAAAUGAAAAAAAUGGUAAGAAAAGGUUUGAAGAGUCCGCCAGAUAGAUGGCCAUUAAAAUAAAGUCUGGCCGAAGAAGAAGAGCAAAAAUAAAAUAAUACAACAAAAUGAGGGUUACGCACAAUAUGCGAAGUUUUGGCUUCUGUUGCUUCUGUUGUUGUUGCAUGUGUAAUUAAGCGAAAUUAGGACAGUCUCCUCCGUGAAGAAAAAAAAAGAGAUGCAAGUUAAAAUUUUGGAAAAAGAAAGCCGCGGGAAAAAGACUCAUUUUGGAGAGACAGUCUUCGGCAGUCUUCGGUGUGGCUAGUCUUCGGAUUUCACAGUCUUCGUCUUCGGCUUCGAUCAAACUAAGCCAAGUUUUGUUUUUUUUUUUCUUACCCCACCACCACCCCCCUCGCCGUUUUUUGUGGCCGAUUCGUGUUUGCCGCUUAUUACGUUUGUUGCUGCUUUUUUGCUUUUUGCUUUUGCUGCCGCUGUCGUGCCCCCUUUUUUGGGGCCAUAUGGCGACGCCGACUGCGACGCCGGCGACGAGGCUUGCACAAAAAACGCGUCGCGCUUAUUAUGUAAUAGGUAACGAACGGCGUCGCUACGUUUUGUCAUUUCGCCGUUUAUUUUUUGGAUACCCCAUACAGUGGGUAGUAUUAUUUACCGCCCAACUUGCCCAUAAAUAGAUGGAAAAUGAAUUUAUUUAUGCCCAGGAAAUCGUUUCUAUUUGGAAAUCAAUGCGAAGAGCGCUCUUAGAUAAUAAGAAAUAUACUAAAUACUUAGCUUUUUUAUUGAGCUGUAUUUAAACAUACAUUUAUUGAGGUCAAACCAUUGAUAAGAAUUAGAAUAAACUCGAAUCCUUACAAAAAAGAAACAUUUGUUAAAAACUCUAUAUUUUAAAACACAACUAUCAAAUGUUGUAAAAAUAAAAAAAAUGGAACAUUCAAAAAUAACCAUUAAGAUAUCAUUUGUAAACUUUAUUUAACACUUCUAAAAUAUUAGAGUAAGAGUAUUUCCCACUUCAGUCAAUCCAAGCAACUCCCUUUACUUCUGGUUUAUUGUUCGUUGCUGUUGCUUAUCGUAUAUUUUAGUUUCAAUUUUUCGAAGUUGCCAAAAAAAUUGAGCAGGCCAAAAAAGCGAAUGCAACUGCAGCUGCGGCGGCUAAGUUGCAACUGCAACUGCAACUUCCAGCGGCAGCUUCAACUAACUGUGGGCGACUCUCGCGCAUUGAAAGAUAAAAUUGUCCAAUUUUUUGCUGGUGUUUUCAUUUUUAUUUUUGGCUUCUUUUUUUUUUGGCCGUGCUUAUUUUAUAAUUUGCUGCGCUUUUUACAGCUCAAGCCAUGAAAAAGAGGUGAAACUAAUUUUUGUUUUUGGUGUGGAAAUCCGUCGCACCGUUUAUGUAAUGCGGCUAUAUUUUCUUUUUGGUUUUUAUUUUAUUUUCCGUAUUAUCCAGAGGGCGCUGCUGUGAAAUGUCACUCCCAGAAUGGGAAAAAGAGGAGUGCAGCAUGUGUGUGCAACUGAGAUGGGAAUAUGGGAUGAGGGGGAGGGGAGUAUCUCUUCGGCGGGCUGCACAAUUAAAUCGAUUGCACAACAAUCGCAGAAACUAAAAGACAAUUGAAAUUAGAAAGGCUGCGCAGAGCUGGGCGAAUUUAAUGUCUGCGGUAUUUGUGUAUUUGUAUUUGAGAGAAGAAAUAAAACAAAAAGUCCUACAACAAAGGUUGAGCAUCGUUGGCUGUGAAAGGUGAAAGGUGUAGAUAAUCGGGCAGCAGAGAAAAGAGAGUUUUCGAAGUCGUCGUCGUGUGUGUGAUAGCGGGUGAGAUUUGGGUACAUUUUGGGUAUACAACACUCGAAUCGCGGGUGGCUUCGAUAUGUUUCGUUUCCCUCUGUCUGUCUUUUCGGUUUUAAAUAUAUAAAAUUUACGGUCUUUCGCUUCGAAUUUCUGUUUUUGGUUUUUUUUUUUUGUGCUGUUUUUGGUUUUUUUGGUAUUUUGGUUUAGGUGUUAUGAAUUCGAGUGAAAUCGCAGUACGAAGAUGCGGGGGAAAAAGUGCAUGAAUUUGUUUUUAGGCCACCGAUAGUUCCGGCAUUUCGAGGGAAGUGGGGUCAAAACUUUCGGGGCGUCGAGAAAUUGAUUGGCGAAGCGAAUGGAAAUUCAAUUUGUAAUGCGGCAGUGAGAGCGAUACAGCGGGUGGCGUUAAUCGUUAACGCUUUGGCUGUGGCCAAGCUGUGGCUAAGAUACAUUUCUGUUGGCCAAUUGUUACACAUAAGCGGUGAAAAGUGUUAAGAGGGUGUGAAUGUUGGGGGCAUUUGCAUAAAUAUUGCAUAAUAAAAGCUAGCCGCUAAAAGCAUUUUCACAACCUGCUCGCGGAAGUGCUAUACAAAAUAUAACAAUUGCACAAGGAAGUUCUAUUGUUAGCAAAAGUAAUUAAAUGUCACAAAUACAUACUUAUUAUUGCUAAUUCUUAUUCCUUACAAUCUGAUUAUUUACAGUCUUUUGAAAGCUUUACAGUACAUUCUCUUAUACUGCUAUGCCCUCAUGUAAACUAUCUGUUAUAUAAACACAUAUGUAAGUAAUUGUUCCUGUGUGUCAUACAACUGUUAUACGUUUGAUGAACUUGUAUUGAUCGGCAAUAAUCCAACGACAUAUCGAAUUCCAAUCGAAAGGUGAAAACUGUAUUGAAGUGAUUUGUGCGCUCACAAAUGUGAAUCUCAAUAUAACACUUACUAUUACAACAAAUCGAAUGGUGAACAACAGUUCAGAGACACGAAUGUUCGUGUCGAAAUGUCAUGGACCCUUUUCCGUCCCUCUCCCCACACUUGGCACCCACUUUUGCCUUACCCACGCCCCCUAAUAACCCAAACUCCCCCCUUCCGUCCCGACUAAGAGAAAGAUAGUGGAUAAUAAACGAACUGCCCGCAUUGUUACAAGAGCCUGGGGAACUUUUUCUUGUUAGUUUUUGUCUGGCCAACACAUAAAUUUCCCUCGCUGAACUUUCAAAACCCAAAUGAAACUGUUCAAAUGAACAGCGACGAUUUGCAUUCAACUUCUGCUUCGGACUGGCCAUUGUUUUUUGCAUAAUUUCACUGGGAGGAAAAGCCAACUCUGCCCAAAAAGGAAAAACAAAAUCAGUUCACCUUCCAUGGCCGCAGAUCUCCGAUCGUUUUCCGAAAGAAAGUCAUUAAGUGAAUGGAAGACUCCAAAGUAGCGAAGAAGCGGCUGUCGUAGAGCAGCAGCAGUCACAAAUUAGCGUUCAAAUUAAGUGAUUAUCAUUAUUAUUAGCCGGAGAUACAUUUCUGAAAAUGUAUAAAUCGAGUUCAAUUUGCUGUGUGUGCUUUCUGUUAGCGGCUUAUUUAAAUGAAAGUUGGAAGGGGUGGUGGUGGGGAGUUGGAGUUGUGAGUAGUAAAUCGGCGCCCACAUCGAUCUCUAUAUGAUACUUUCUAAAUGUGCGACCGCGUUGCACAAUUUUUCUUCUGCUCUUCAAGCUCUCGAUUUUUCGGCGGGGUAAUUGCAACUGCAACUAAUGUGAAAUUCAAUUUGCUGCCCCAGAAACAACAACAUAUGCACUGGGAAAAUGGAAUGCUAACGCUACAAGAAUAAUAGAAUUUAACUUUUCAGAGUUUUGUUUUCAUAUGUAUAAAUGCACUUCUGUGGGACAGAGUGGAAAACAUUUGGGUCAUUAUAAUAUUUACCCAAAAGGUGGUUAUGUUAUUACUCAAAACUCUUUAUAAGACAUAUUCCAUUACCAAAGCCAUGCCAAUUCGUGACCAAUCUUGGUGAUAUUUCUGUCGGAUUCGGAAAUAAAACUUUCCAAGUUGCAAAAUUUUCAAAGCGGACGACAAACGAAAUUUGUUUAACUUUCCACAGUCGCAGCAGCAGCAGCAGCAACAGCAGCAGCGGCAAAGUUCGGUUAUGUCAUAACACAGAGGUGAGGUAAGUCGGCGAAAGGGGGGCGGAGGGCGGAGAGGGGCGGGAGAGGUGCGAUUUCCCUCAAGUGAAACUGUAAGCUGUGGUUAUAUACACAUACAUACAUACGUAUAUUUCUUUUCCAUCAGUUUGUGUUUUUUUGGAAAGCCGCAAAAAGGCAAUGUAAAACUGAAGUCGCACAGCCGCCGUCGCCGCCAAAGUUGAAGAAAAAGAGCGCCGGACUGACUAUCCGUAGGCCUCUCUUUUAAUGCGUGGGGACAACCAACAGCAACAACAACAACAGCAAAUACAUUGGGGCCAAAAAGACAGCAGCAGCAGAAACAACAACAACAUUAAUAGUAGUAGCAAAAACAACAAUGAAACGAAAACGAAAGUGUGCGCAUCCGCAAUUAAAAUUGUAAACGCAAGAGUUUACAAAAGUGGUAGAAGCAACAAGCGCGGGGAAACGACAUAAAAAUGGUUGGGUUUUCAGAAAAAUGCCACCAAAAUGCGGUCGCUCGUCUGUCAAAUUAGAGGCACAAGUUUUCGAGUGAAAAUUUUGACCCAAUUUCGUUGGUUUUUCGGCCGAAAUGCGAUUACCUAAUGCCGCCAGGAGAGGCAACUCAGUCAGUCGAAGUCGCGCCCUUGCCUUUUUUUUAUGUAUUUUUACCUAAAGUAUAUCUCAAGGCUUAAGCCUUUUUUUAUCACAGUCAAUAUCUGUGAGAUUCGCUACAGUAUACAUUGAAUAUUGAUGGAAAAAUGUAAAUGUGUCGGCCAAAAACCCGAAGGCUUUGUAAACAUAAAUGAUGGAAUCAUAAAUGCAUAUUUUUAUGAUCUUUAUUCUAAUUGAUAUACAAGGUAAAUUGAUCUGUAAAACAGAUUUGCUACCCAGAAAUGAUAGCCGUUGUUAUAUGUGUUUAAUCUGAAUUUUAAGAAUUUCGUCUUUGGUCAAUUAGUUGUAAACCCUUUUCCCUCGUCGCAAGAUCGUUAUAACUCCAGUUAUUUGGGGCACGCAUGGAUCGGCGCAACUGGUUUGCUUAUCGCUCGUAUUUUCGGACAUUUUUUAGAGUCGUUAUAAAUGAAUAAUUGCGCUUGGGUCUCCAAAAUGGGUCACCCGAGACGAGAUCUGAUCGAAUCGGAUCGAUUCGAAUCGUAUCGCAUCGAUCGAGUUUCCCUUUUGUCUCGCAAUGCAGCGUAAUCGAUUUAAAUAAAUUAUAAUUACUCACGCGGAAUGGAGAACGUGUGUUUUUUUUUUCUUAAAUGGAUCCUUGACUCAAAAAUGCCGACAUGGCUGCUUAAGCUUACACUUUAAUGAAAAGCUCUUUCGGGAAACCCAAUUACAUACCUGUAACGAUAAGAUAAGCAGAAGUAAUCAGAUUAAAAUUGGUCAGGGAUUACAUACAAAAUUAAGGGUGUAAUAAAUUAUUUUAAUGCCUUUUGUAAAAAACAAAUUACACCCAUUUUAAAUCAGAACUUUAUGUCCAAACUCAACUCAUUCGGAACUCAAAGAUUUAUGAUCUAUGCAUUUAAGAAUCUUUUACUUUAAGAACCCCAUUAAAAUUAGCUUAGACGAUAAAUGUCUAAAGUCCCCGAAAUGAUUCAUAACCCACAUCGAGUUCCCAGAAUCUACGCUCAGAAACAUCAUAAGAUUUAAAAAAAAAAGGGAAUCUCAGAAAAUUUCAACAAAGUAUAGUAUCCAUCAACAAUCGAAUCGAGCCGAACCGAAUCAAAAUGAAACGAACGAAACGCUUUGAUGGAUCAAUAUAUCGUAAAAAAACAAAAAUAUGAAAUCACUUUGUGACGAUGAUGAUGACGACGACGACAUGCCAAAGUGAAAUUAGCCCAAAGUUGAAAUCCAUUUAGAAAUCUACAUGAACUCAAAUGCGUGUGUAAAAAGGUAAGGCAAAAGGUACAAAAAUUAACAGCGGAAAAAAAGACAGAUACAUUCGACUUGUGAUAUUAAUCCCGCCAUAAAUCAAUGGCAACCGUCCAGCCAGACAUCGCACAACACCCGUCAAAGUUGACAGGGUCCCCUCGCUAUAGAGGACCAGAUACAGAUAUCUGUAUAUGGUGGUACGGGGGUAAGGGGCUAAGGGGUAAGAGGGGUAAGAGGGCAGGGCUGUUUGUCAUUUGGGCCUAGGCGUUGGCCCAUAGCUGUCCAUUUGUCGUCUAUCUUCGUCUCGGCCCUGUGGCUUUUGUCAUGUGCGACUUUUAGGGCAUCAUGCCCGGUUAUGGCUUCCAUCUGAUCGGCCGAUGAGACCGACCCUCUUACACACACACUGACACACACACACACAACAGUAUUUUGCCCCCACUUUGCUUAGCCCAAAACGCCAUCGAAAGUUGAGUUUACUUUGGCCAUAUUGGGGUUUGGGGGGUCUCAUCUCGGCUUAAGCCGCUUCGUGUCACUUGGCCCAUGGCUUGUUAGGCCCUCAUUUUGUUAUGCCCUAUUAAGAAAAAAAGAUGGAGUGCUAAGAUGAAAAGGUAGGACUUGUUAACUGGCUUUUCUGUUGAAUUGCACCAUAUACAGUCAUGGUCCUAGGGACUUGGGUUACUCAAAUGGGAAAUUUGUGCAGAUGACCUGUUACCCUUUAAUUAAAUAUUAAAUAUUGGGGAAUAUUAGCUUUAAAAAUAUAUAUUAAAUAUAUAUUUAAAUUAUACCAUAUUUUACGAGAUGCUCCAUCUUCCGCUUACAUUUUUACAAGACGGUAGAGUAUCUAAGCCGUGUUAAUUCCUUGGUUUAAUAUUCAGCUUUGGCGGCUUGCUGCAAAAGCAUCCAAACAAUUCGAGCUGAAACAACAAAUAGUCACGCAUAAUCUCCAAAUGGAGGACGGACUGGGCCCAAUUUGAAGGCGAAAAGCCCAUGUGCCGCUGAUGCUUCUGCUUGGCUAACUGACUUGGGAAAAUGACGAACUGAGAAAUUGGCUAACUGGCUAACUGGCCAACUGACAAACUGGCUAACUGACGACCGUUUCACGGCCAGAGACCGGACCCAGACCCCGUUCAUAGGCAUAGUUUGGAUCUCACAGUGAAAAGCAGCUGCGAUGUUGAGUUAUUCACACAAAUUUCACGCCAAUGGACAACAACAGCGCACUACACUCGCUGUUGCCGGCGAUCCGUUGAAUGGCCUUUGGAAAUGAUUUCUGCUUGGCAACAAUUGCAAAAGCCAUGGCUAAAAACAAUUUCAACCGCAGCAGCAAAACAUUAGGGGCAUCGGCGAUUGCGGAGAGAAAACUGUUUGAAAACAACUGUGACGGAAAACUUGGGAAAAUUGUAUUGACGGUCGCAAUUGGACACAGAUUUGGUAAAUGUAGCUCUAAUUGCCAUUCAAAUUUAAUCAACUUGGAGAGCAUGCGAAAUGAACUCAUUGAAGAGUUUAGAAGUUAUAAUGUAGAACUUGAAAACUAUUUAUUGACUUUUAAGCUCUGCACCAUCCCGAUCAUUAUCAUUUCAAAUUUCGAAUGGCAGGAGAGGGGCAAAAACUAUUAUUAAACUUGGAUUUCGGAUCUGGCGCGACUUUCACGCGCGACUUUAAACGCCGGCAAAACGCAUCGUUGCACAAAUUUGCAUUCGCUUCAAACACACUCAAACAUUCGAACACAUGCGAAUAACAUGUAGGCAACCAAAAUGGAAAGCAGCGGCGAAAACUGCAGCAACAACAAUAACUGACAACUGUCAUAAACAUAACUCGGGCUCAAUUUAGCAUUGUUGUUGUUUUUGUUUUGGCUGUUGUUGUUGGCGUUGGCCAGCGUCUUGGUUUGGUGAUAUCGCCUGAGCAUAUCACCGCAUAACGAUUUCCCAACCCCCAAUUACACUGGAAACAAUUUCAGCACGUAUCACCUCAUGAUGAUGAAUUAAAUUUAUAAUAUGUACUUAUUAUAUCGCAUCAAAAACUUUUCCAAAUAUGCAAGCAAUCCUAAAUUAAAAAGUUCUGUAAGUUUGAAAUAUUAAAGUUUUUUCGCAGUGUACUGCACUACACCAUUCA
Molecule: long non-coding RNA, 17064 nt
Organism: Drosophila yakuba
Lineage: Eukaryota; Metazoa; Arthropoda; Insecta; Diptera; Drosophilidae
Exons: 2
Source: RefSeq, a predicted model, not a curated record